This 477-nucleotide ribosomal RNA is filed under the name uncultured bacterium. RNAcentral describes it as "partial 16S ribosomal RNA". It matches the Rfam family "Bacterial small subunit ribosomal RNA", at positions 28 to 507 of the family's 1533-position model. The record is from RNAcentral.
GAUUAACGCUGGCGGCGUGCAUAACACAUGCAAGUCGAACGAUGAAACUUAGUAGACUUCUUCGGAAAGACACUAAGCGGAUUAGUGGCGAACGGGUGAGUAACGCGUGAGUAACCUGCCUUGCACAAGGGGAUAGCCUUUGGAAACGAAGAAUAAUACCCUAUAAAACCAUAAAAGCACAUGCUAGAAUGGUCAAAGUGAUAGCGGUGUAAGAUGGACUUGCGUCUGAUUAGCUAGUUGGUGAGAUAAAAGCUCACCAAGGCAACGAUCAGUAGCCGGCUUGAGAGAGUGUACGGCCACAUUGGGACUGAGACACGGCCCAGACUCCUACGGGAGGCAGCAGCGGGGAAUUUUGCACAAUGGGGGAAACCCUGAUGCAGCGACGCCGCGUGAUUUAGAAGGCCUUCGGGUUGUAAAAAUCUUUUGUAUAGGAAGAAAAUGACAGUACUAUACGAAUAAGGUCCGGCUAAUUACGUG